This 164-nucleotide ribosomal RNA is filed under the name uncultured bacterium. Its description in RNAcentral is "partial 16S ribosomal RNA". It matches the Rfam family "Bacterial small subunit ribosomal RNA", at positions 355 to 511 of the family's 1533-position model. The record is from RNAcentral.
UAGGGAAUCUUCCACAAUGGGCGCAAGUCUGAUGGAGCAACGCCGCGUGAGUGAAGAAGGGUUUCGGCUCGUAAAGCUCUGUUGUUAAAGAAGAACGUGGGUAAGAGUAACUGUUUACCCAGUGACGGUAUUUAACCAGAAAGCCACGGCUAACUGCGUGGCAG